GAUGAACGCUGGCGGCGUGCCUAAUACAUGCAAGUCGAGCGAACAGACGAGGAGCUUGCUCCUCUGACGUUAGCGGCGGACGGGUGAGUAACAUGUGGAUAACCUACCUAUAAGACUGGGAUAACUUCGGGAAACCGGAGCUAAUACCGGAUAAUAUAUUGAACCGCAUGGUUCAAUAGUGAAAGACGGUUUUGCUGUCACUUAUAGAUGGAUCCGCGCCGCAUUAGCUAGUUGGUAAGGUAACGGCUUACCAAGGCAACGAUGCGUAGCCGACCUGAGAGGGUGAUCGGCCACACGGGAACUGAGACACGGUCCAGACUACUACGGGAGGCAGCAGUAGGGAAUCUUCCGCAAUGGGCGAAAGCUUGACGGAGCAACGCCGCGUGAGUGAUGAAGGUCUUCGGAUCGUAAAACUCUGUUAUUAGGGAAGAACAAAUGUGUAAGUAACUAUGCACGUCUUGACGGUACCUAAUCAGAAAGCAACGGCUAACUACGUG
Molecule: ribosomal RNA, 497 nt
Filed under: uncultured bacterium
Lineage: Bacteria
Description: partial 16S ribosomal RNA
Rfam family: Bacterial small subunit ribosomal RNA
Source: RNAcentral